AGAGUUUGAUCAUGGCUCAGAGCGAACGCUGGCGGCAGGCCUAACACAUGCAAGUCGAACGAACUCUUCGGAGUUAGUGGCGGACGGGUGAGUAACACGUGGGAACGUGCCUUUAGGUUCGGAAUAACUCAGGGAAACUUGUGCUAAUACCGAAUGUGCCCUUCGGGGGAAAGAUUUAUCGCCUUUAGAGCGGCCCGCGUCUGAUUAGCUAGUUGGUGAGGUAAAGGCUCACCAAGGCUACGAUCAGUAGCUGGUCUGAGAGGAUGACCAGCCACAUUGGGACUGAGACACGGCCCAAACUCCUACGGGAGGCAGCAGUGGGGAAUCUUGCGCAAUGGGCGAAAGCCUGACGCAGCCAUGCCGCGUGGAUGAUGAAGGUCUUAGGAUUGUAAAAUCCUUUCACCGGUGAAGAUAAUGACUGUAGCCGGAGAAGAAGCCCCGGCUAACUUCGUG
Molecule: ribosomal RNA, 453 nt
Filed under: uncultured bacterium
Lineage: Bacteria
Description: bacterial SSU rRNA
Rfam family: Bacterial small subunit ribosomal RNA
Source: RNAcentral